RNAcentral lists this transfer RNA (85 nucleotides) under Bacillota bacterium. Its description in RNAcentral is "Firmicutes bacterium (compost metagenome) tRNA-Tyr". It matches the Rfam family "tRNA". From Rfam's summary of the family: Transfer RNA (tRNA) molecules are approximately 80 nucleotides in length. Their secondary structure includes four short double-helical elements and three loops (D, anti-codon, and T loops). Lineage: Bacteria; Bacillati; Bacillota. RNAcentral also lists the same sequence under 1 other name. The record is from RNAcentral.
GGAGGGGUACCGAAGCGGUCAAACGGGGCAGACUGUAAAUCUGUUGGCGUAGCCUUCGCAGGUUCGAAUCCUGCCCCCUCCACCA